RNAcentral lists this ribosomal RNA (312 nucleotides) under Ligilactobacillus salivarius. Its description in RNAcentral is "bacterial SSU rRNA". It matches the Rfam family "Bacterial small subunit ribosomal RNA", at positions 381 to 687 of the family's 1533-position model. The record is from RNAcentral. Lineage: Bacteria; Bacillati; Bacillota; Bacilli; Lactobacillales; Lactobacillaceae.
CACUGAGGACACGCCGCGUGAGUGAAGAAGGUCUUCGGAUCGUAAAACUCUGUUGUUAGAGAAGANCACGAGUGAGAGUAACUGUUCAUUCGAUGACGGUAUCUAACCAGCAAGUCACGGCUAACUACGUGCCAGCAGCCGCGGUAAUACGUAGGUGGCAAGCGUUGUCCGGAUUUAUUGGGCGUAAAGGGAACGCAGGCGGUCUUUUAAGUCUGAUGUGAAAGCCUUCGGCUUAACCGGAGUAGUGCAUUGGAAACUGGAAGACUUGAGUGCAGAAGAGGAGAGUGGAACUCCAUGUGUACNGGGUGAAAU